RNAcentral lists this ribosomal RNA (487 nucleotides) under uncultured bacterium. RNAcentral describes it as "bacterial SSU rRNA". It matches the Rfam family "Bacterial small subunit ribosomal RNA", at positions 99 to 572 of the family's 1533-position model. The record is from RNAcentral.
CGAACGGGUGAGUAACACGUGGGUAACCUGCCCAUCAGAAGGGGAUAACACUUGGAAACAGGUGCUAAUACCGUAUAACAAUCAAAACCGCAUGGUUUUGAUUUGAAAGGCGCUUUCGGGUGUCGCUGAUGGAUGGACCCGCGGUGCAUUAGCUAGUUGGUGAGGUAACGGCUCACCAAGGCCACGAUGCAUAGCCGACCUGAGAGGGUGAUCGGCCACAUUGGGACUGAGACACGGCCCAAACUCAUACGGGAGGCAGCAGUAGGGAAUCUUCGGCAAUGGACGAAAGUCUGACCGAGCAACGCCGCGUGAGUGAAGAAGGUUUUCGGAUCGUAAAACUCUGUUGUUAGAGAAGAACAAGGAUGAGAGUAACUGUUCAUCCCUUGACGGUAUCUAACCAGAAAGCCACGGCUAACUACGUGCCAGCAGCCGCGGUAAUACGUAGGUGGCAAGCGUUGUCCGGAUUUAUUGGGCGUAAAGCGAGCGC